GACGAACGCUGGCGGCGUGCUUAACACAUGCAAGUCGAACGGAAAGGCCCUGCUUUUGUGGGGUGCUCGAGUGGCGAACGGGUGAGUAACACGUGAGUAACCUGCCCUUGACUUUGGGAUAACUUCAGGGAACUGGGGCUAAUACCGGAUAGGAGCUCCUGCUGCAUGGUGGGGGUUGGAAAGUUUUGGCGGUUGGGGAUGGACUCGCGGCUUAUCAGCUUGUUGGUGGGGUAGUGGCUUACCAAGGCUUUGACGGGUAGCCGGCCUGAGAGGGUGACCGGCCACAUUGGGACUGAGAUACGGCCCAGACUCCUACGGGAGGCAGCAGUGGGGAAUAUUGCACAAUGGGCGGAAGCCUGAUGCAGCAACGCCGCGUGCGGGAUGACGGCCUUCGGGUUGUAAACCGCUUUCGCCUGUGACGAAGCGUGAGUGACGGUAAUGGGUAAAGAAGCACCGGCUAACUACGUG
This 468-nucleotide ribosomal RNA is filed under the name uncultured bacterium. RNAcentral's name for it is "partial 16S ribosomal RNA". It matches the Rfam family "Bacterial small subunit ribosomal RNA", at positions 28 to 507 of the family's 1533-position model. The record is from RNAcentral.